GCCUGUCAGUUGUUCGGAACUGUCAAAUUUUUGUUCUAACUGACAGGCCGAUAUCGUCCGGCGGCCUGUCAGUCAUGGUUAGGGAGGCGAAUAGGGGAAUUUUCUGCAAUACUCGAGCGUGGCAGUUUAAGAUAUGAGAGAUACCUUAGACCUAAUAGAACAACCUUGUAAAGUAUUUAGCUCUAUAUGUAGUGACGCGCGCCUAGGAUAGACGAUCAGAUUAGUAAAAAAAAAUGGAUAGUCUGAAAUACUCGAGCGCGUCAGAUUAAGAUAUUGGGGGUUGAUUUUAGUGUUUAAAGACUAAAUUUAACUAAUCUGACGAUAAGUCCUUGACGCCGCCGAGUUAUAGGGUCGCGAACUUGUAAAAAAAAAACGUUAAUCCGGCAUUCUCGAGCGCGAUUUUUUUAUUUUUUAUUUUGAAGAAUAUAAUCUAAAACUUACUAAAAAUACAAAAUCUGCCGGUUUCCGCAUGACCGGAAGUGUGGAGGAGCCAUUUCGUCUUCCUAAGAACGCGUUGC
Molecule: long non-coding RNA, 518 nt
Organism: Cydia splendana
Lineage: Eukaryota; Metazoa; Arthropoda; Insecta; Lepidoptera; Tortricidae
Exons: 2
Source: RefSeq, a predicted model, not a curated record